This 555-nucleotide long non-coding RNA is filed under the name Setaria viridis. Its description in RNAcentral is "long non-coding RNA (SVIR_LNC011334)". Lineage: Eukaryota; Viridiplantae; Streptophyta; Magnoliopsida; Poales; Poaceae. The record is from RNAcentral.
GUAUGCAUAUUGCUUGACCAUGGAGCUACAUGGGAUUGCUUGAAAUGGAGCUACAGGCAACAUGCUGCUUUGCACAGUUGGACGGGAGAGGGGAGCAGCAGCAGCUGUACUAUGUGUGUUGAGGAAGAAAGAAGAGCAGGCAGUGUCUCAGUGCGGUGCUAUGCUGUUCUAGGAAGAUGGGGCGUUGAUGAUGGACCGCAGCUGGAUGCAGGUGCGGACGAAUGACCAGAAGUGAAUGGCCGGAGCCGUAACUGGAUGCCGGCAGCCGACGCCCGGCCGUGUUGCUUGGCGAGAGGCAGCACCCGUACUCAGACCUUCUUCCUUCUACAGCAGCAACAUCAGCCCGGUGCUCUGCUCCAGUUCCUCCAUCCUUGCCGCCACCUCUUCCCACUUCCCAGCACUGGCCGCUACGAUGAACCCAUUUGCUUGCUGCGAUGGUUACGGACGCUCAUGGGAUUGCUGCGAGCGAAGAGUGAUGCGAGGGCAGGACGCGGGAGCCAAGGCCCCACACGGAGGGGUGAUGCUCUGAUGGAUGCCGGGCUGGCCGGAGCUCGC